RNAcentral lists this ribosomal RNA (610 nucleotides) under fungal endophyte. Its description in RNAcentral is "eukaryotic LSU rRNA". The stretch from base 180 to 333 matches the Rfam family "5.8S ribosomal RNA". Lineage: Eukaryota; Fungi. The record is from RNAcentral.
UUAAAGAGUUCUAUAACUCCCAAACCCAUGUGAACAUACCUAACGUUGCCUCGGCAGGUCGCACCUACCUUGUAGCACCCUACCCUGUAGGGCCUACCCGGGAGGUGCGGGUAAGCCUGCCGGCGGCCCACCAAACUCUGUUUGAUAUUGAAUUCUGAACCUAUAACUAAAUAAGUUAAAACUUUCAACAACGGAUCUCUUGGUUCUGGCAUCGAUGAAGAACGCAGCGAAAUGCGAUAAGUAAUGUGAAUUGCAGAAUUCAGUGAAUCAUCGAAUCUUUGAACGCAUAUUGCGCCCAUUAGUAUUCUAGUGGGCAGGACCGUUCGAGCGUCAUUUCAACCCUUAAGCCUUCGUUGCUUAGUGUUGGGAGCCUACGGCAACGUAGCUCCUCAAAGUUAGUGGCGGAGUUGGUUCACACUCUAGACGUAGUAAUUUUUUAUCUCGCCUAUUAGUUGGACUAAUCCCCUGCCGUAAAACCCCUAAUUUAUCAAGGUUGACCUCGAAUCGGUUCAGACAAACUCGCUAAAUUGAAGCAUCUUAGUCAGCGAAGGAAAAGAAACCAACAGGGAUUGCCCUAGUAACGGCGAGUGAAGCGGCAACAGCUCAAAUU